CAGUUCGGAUUGCAGGCUGCAACCCGCCUGCAUGAAGUCGGAAUCGCUAGUAAUCGCGGGUCAGCAUACCGCGGUGAAUACGUUCCCGGGCCUUGUACACACCGCCCGUCACACCACGAAAGUUGGUAACACCCGAAGCCGGUGGCCUAACCCUUAGGGGAGGGAGCUGUCGAAGGUGGGACUGAUGAUUGGGGUGAAGUCGUAACAAGGUAAC
RNAcentral lists this ribosomal RNA (214 nucleotides) under uncultured bacterium. RNAcentral's name for it is "partial 16S ribosomal RNA". It matches the Rfam family "Bacterial small subunit ribosomal RNA", at positions 1289 to 1500 of the family's 1533-position model. The record is from RNAcentral.